Long non-coding RNA from Selaginella moellendorffii, 581 nucleotides. RefSeq lists it as uncharacterized. NCBI's taxonomy places the organism in Eukaryota, Viridiplantae, Streptophyta, Lycopodiopsida, Selaginellales, Selaginellaceae. The transcript is spliced from 2 exons. The record is from RefSeq and is a predicted model, not a curated record.
AAUAUUUUUCAAGUGAUCAACCCUGGGAAGACUGGCCAGCCCAGGGACCUGAGGGAUAGUCUUGUAGAGCCGAUCCCGGGUUCGAACCCACCCGAAGAAGAGGGACCCUCAAAUAAAACAAACUGAUCACUCCCUUUUAUUUUCCCAAGCAUGUUGGGGCACGGAUUCGAACACAUCACUCCUUCACAAACCCAUCAAUAAUACAUUCUUGAGAUGAAGGCUGGAGGUGGCUCUUGCGUCCUCAUCACUGGGGGAGGGCGCUGGACCUUGCGAGGCGUGGUGGAAACAUCACGAUUGUGGAUUUGUCAUGUGAGAAUGGGCUGUGAACCCUGAGCUUGGUAAGAGAGCCGACGAAUCCGAAUCCUCCCUUUGCCAUCUUUGUUGAGUGUGAUCUCUGCGAUCUGGGUGAGAGAGAUACUUCAGCAUCGGUUUGUUAGAUAUUUUCCUCCUGUAGAGCAAGUGUGGAACUUCUGUAGCUACCUAGGCACUGGCUCCAGCGGCUUUACGUGAACUUUGCAAGCCGCGAGGAACAAAGCCCAAGAGAUGUGAUCUGGAAAGAAUCUUGUUGCGCGAGUGAGCAA